UCCAGACUCCUACGGGAGGCAGCAGUGGGGAAUAUUGCACAAUGGGGGGAACCCUGAUGCAGCGACGCCGCGUGAGUGAAGAAGUAUUUCGGUAUGUAAAGCUCUGUCAGCAGGGAAGAAGAAAGACGGUACCUGACCAAGAAGCCCCGGCUAACUACGUGCCAGCAGCCGCGGUAAUACGUAGGGGGCAAGCGUUAUCCGGAUUUACUGGGUGUAAAGGGAGCGUAGACGGCAGGGCAAGUCUGGGGUGAAAGGCAGGGGCCCAACCCCUGGACUGCUCUGGAAACUGUCCGGCUGGAGUGCAGGAGAGGUAAGUGGAAUUCCUAGUGUAGCGGUGAAAUGCGUAGAUAUUAGGAGGAACACCAGUGGCGAAGGCGGCCUGCUGGACGGUGUACUGACGCUGAGGCUCGAAAGCGUGGGGAGCAAACAGGAUUAGAUACCCGUGUAAGC
This 450-nucleotide ribosomal RNA is filed under the name uncultured bacterium. RNAcentral's name for it is "bacterial SSU rRNA". It matches the Rfam family "Bacterial small subunit ribosomal RNA", at positions 330 to 794 of the family's 1533-position model. The record is from RNAcentral.